AGUGAACGCUGGCGGUAGGCCUAACACAUGCAAGUCGAACGGCAGCACAGUAAUAGCUUGCUCUUACGGGUGGCGAGUGGCGGACGGGUGAGGAAUACAUCGGCAUCUACUUUUUCGUGGGGGAUAACGUAGGGAAACUUACGCUAAUACCGCAUACGACCUACGGGUGAAAGCAGGGGAUCUUCGGACCUUGCGCGAUUCAAUGAGCCGAUGUCGGAUUAGCUAGUUGGCGGGGUAAAGGCCCACCAAGGCGACGAUCCGUAGCUGGUCUGAGAGGAUGAUCAGCCACACUGGAACUGAGACACGGUCCAGACUCCUACGGGAGGCAGCAGUGGGGAAUAUUGGACAAUGGGCGCAAGCCUGAUCCAGCCAUGCCGCGUGGGUGAAGAAGGCCUUCGGGUUGUAAAGCCCUUUUGUUGGGAAAGAAAAGCAGCAGGUUAAUACCCCGCUGUGCUGACGGUACCCAAAGAAUAAGCACCGGCUAACUUCGUG
RNAcentral lists this ribosomal RNA (492 nucleotides) under uncultured bacterium. RNAcentral's name for it is "partial 16S ribosomal RNA". It matches the Rfam family "Bacterial small subunit ribosomal RNA", at positions 29 to 507 of the family's 1533-position model. The record is from RNAcentral.